This 420-nucleotide ribosomal RNA is filed under the name uncultured bacterium. Its description in RNAcentral is "bacterial SSU rRNA". It matches the Rfam family "Bacterial small subunit ribosomal RNA", at positions 355 to 775 of the family's 1533-position model. The record is from RNAcentral.
UGGGGAAUCUUGCGCAAUGGACGAAAGUCUGACGCAGCGACGCCGCGUGUGGGAGGACGCCUUUCGGGGUGUAAACCACUGUUGCCCGGGACGAACACCUUCUUUCGAGGAGGCUGACGGUACCGGGUGAGGAAGCACCGGCUAACUCCGUGCCAGCAGCCGCGGUAAUACGGAGGGUGCGAGCGUUGUCCGGAAUCAUUGGGCGUAAAGGGCGCGUAGGUGGCGCGGCAAGCGUGCGGUGAAAGCUCGGGGCUCAACCCCGAGUCGGCCGUGCGAACUGCCGCGCUCGAGCACUGUAGAGGCAGGCGGAAUUCCGGGUGUAGCGGUGGAAUGCGUAGAGAUCCGGAAGAACACCGGUGGCGAAGGCGGCCUGCUGGGCAGUGGCUGACACUGAGGCGCGACAGCGUGGGGAGCAAACAG